AGGUUUUGGUGUGGGAUAAGGCCAUGGUAGCUUGGGGGGUUGGUGAUCAUGCUGAAUUUUUGCAUUGUUUGACUUGACAAUAACAUGUAGUCAUGGUAUAGUCUCCACUUUGAACUAAAGUUGGACUUUGUUUCUGCUCUGUAUUUGAUGAUAUGAAUAUUCAAUGAUCUAUUGUCUAUUGGGGCGUGUGGAAUUGUUAAUUAGUAUUCUCUGUGUUGGGAGGUUUUGAACUUGCAAAUUAACUGUUCUCAUUUACUCAUUGGUGGUUAGUUU
Molecule: long non-coding RNA, 273 nt
Filed under: Glycine max (soybean)
Lineage: Eukaryota; Viridiplantae; Streptophyta; Magnoliopsida; Fabales; Fabaceae
Description: long non-coding RNA (GMAX_LNC002855)
Source: RNAcentral